AUUGAACGCUGGCGGCAGGCCUAACACAUGCAAGUCGAGCGGAUGAAGGGAGCUUGCUCCUGGAUUCAGCGGCGGACGGGUGAGUAAUGCCUAGGAAUCUGCCUGGUAGUGGGGGAUAACGUCCGGAAACGGGCGCUAAUACCGCAUACGUCCUGAGGGAGAAAGUGGGGGAUCUUCGGACCUCACGCUAUCAGAUGAGCCUAGGUCGGAUUAGCUAGUUGGUGGGGUAAAGGCCUACCAAGGCGACGAUCCGUAACUGGUCUGAGAGGAUGAUCAGUCACACUGGAACUGAGACACGGUCCAGACUCCUACGGGAGGCAGCAGUGGGGAAUAUUGGACGAUGGGCGAAAGCCUGAUCCAGCCAUGCCGCGUGUGUGAAGAAGGUCUUCUGAUUGUAAAGCACUUUAAGUUGGGAGGAAGUGCAGUAAGUUAAUACCUUGCUGUUUUGACGUUACCAACAGAAUAAGCACCGGCUAACUUCGUG
Molecule: ribosomal RNA, 484 nt
Filed under: uncultured bacterium
Lineage: Bacteria
Description: partial 16S ribosomal RNA
Rfam family: Bacterial small subunit ribosomal RNA
Source: RNAcentral